This 13148-nucleotide long non-coding RNA is filed under the name Homo sapiens (human). RNAcentral describes it as "HSALNT0292007". The record is from RNAcentral. Lineage: Eukaryota; Metazoa; Chordata; Mammalia; Primates; Hominidae.
GUAGCGCCUCCGCUGAGGGACCCGGCGGGAACAAACCGCCGCCGCGGCGGGAGCUGGGCUCGAGUGGCCGGAGGCGGGCCCUUGUCUUCGCCGCCGCUCCUGCACCCUGUGCUCCCUGAAGCCGCCGCCUUCAGAACGCUCAGCCCCUGGAUGUUAAGGCUCACUCGGGCGCCAGCCGCAGCCAGGGAAGUGGCGGCGGUCCCCACCCGUCCUCUCCCCAAGGCGGCGCCCGGGCCACCGGGCCGAAGCGCAGUGGGAGCGCGAGGCUGAGACGCCGGGACCCACGCCGCCCCAGCGCGGCCCGCCGGCGCCCACCCGAGCCCGCACGGCUUCCAGCCCGAGGGGAGACGCAUUCGAGUGAUCACCAGGAGCGAACUUGGCGCCCGCAGCCUUGGGCCUGGGAGAGGUGAGAUUGCGGCGGCGCCCUCUCCUCCCUCCGCUGUCGGGCCCGCCACCCCUCUCCGCGCGGAGAGGCCGGGCAGAGCGCCGGCCGCUGUGGCCGCGUUCCCGGGGCGCGGGCCGGUCUACUGCUCCGAGUUUGCCUGUUCUCCGACCCUCUGGAUCUCGGCAUCCGUUUGUCUCAGUCUCUGUGACUAUCUCACUCUCCGUGAGUCUCUGUGGAAACGGCAUUUGUCUGGAUGUCUGUUCAUGGGUCUGGGAAUCCGCUUAAUUUCUCCCUCCCCUCUCCCUGGCCCCAGUUGCCCUGAGGACUGGACACCCCCCACCUUCCUGGCUCCCAGGGUUCUGGGCCCCACCGACAGGCGGCAGGACCUCCUCCGCCCCCUGCCCGACACCCCCUCAGUGAACCCUGACCUCCACCAAGUGUUGCCUUCAUCUCUCAAAAGUCUUGUGCAACUAAGGUUGGCCCUGUGCCUUGUUUCUCGCUAGCCGGGUUCCUGCCCAUCCUAUUAGACCUCUUUCUCCCCCGGCCUCCCUCCAGGACCCAGAAACAAGCAGCUUCAACACAGAUUGGGCCCAUUUCAGCCUCUGGGGCACGGAAGGGGAGAUGGGCGCUGGACGUGAGCAGGAACUGAGCGGAUGCCUGGGCUGCUGCCCCGACAGCGCCGCACAGUGGCUAAAGCUCGGGCGUGCGAGGCCGGAAUCCCAGCUGCCUCCGCUGUAGCAAGGCUGUGUGACCCUCAUUAGGUGACUUCCCCGCUUCGGAGCCUCAGUUUCCUGGUCUGCAUAGUAGUUAAGAGCAGCGACCUUAAGUCAGGCUCCUGGGGUUCCAAUCCUGCCUUCACUACUUACCCUAUCUGUCACCUUGGGCAAGGUUCUUUGCGCUUUGUUUCUGCCUUUGUAAAAAUGAGGCUAGUAACACCUACCUCAGAACUGAUGUAUAAGUGUAGCCAUAUUCUAGGCCAUUUAGGAAAGGGUACUGAGAACACUUUGCAGUUUCAUCUAACAGCAGCCUCCAAUCUACGGGAUAGCCUGGUGUUAAUCCAACUCUCCCAUUCCACAGAUGGAGCUACAGAGGCCCAGGAUAGGGAGAAAGAACUCACCCAGGCUCCUGCAAAGAAAUAGAACAGAGUUGGGUUGCAACCCUUUUCACAGAAUCCUCAAAAUAGAGUUCUUCAUCCCCCCAAGGUAAGGGCAGAAAAAAAUGGAAGGCAGGUCUGACUACUCAUGUCCUUUGAGAGGAAGUCGCCUGGGCCCCCUCUGGGACCUCUGACCAAGGGGAUCCAUUUAAUGUGCUGUUCCAGCAUAAACUGUCAUUGGAAAAAAGAGAAAUCUCGUCCUCAAACCAUGGACAGCAAAUUGGACAGGGACUAGUAGCCCUGGAAUUGGAAUUUCCUGGGUGACAGACUGUCCGGGGAAAAAGGUCUUGGAGAGAAGCUUCUUGCAUGAGUCCAAGGAAACUCACAUACCUAGGGUUGCUAGAUUUAGCAGAUUUAUUUUAUCUGGCAACCCUACACAUACCUCAAGCUUGCUCUUGACUACAUGGAUAUCUGUCUCACACUCCCAGAACCCCACUCACAGAUACCCCACACCAUGGACCACACACCAACUCCAACCCAGCUCAACUCUGCUAGUAUCUAAACAAGUGGAGAGAAAAACAGUGUUGGCGUCAUCCUACUCCAUUUCACCUUCUGAAUGUCCUCAUUUCUUUUUUUUCUUUUCUUUUUUUUUUUUUUUUUUUUUUUUGACUGAGUUUCGCUCUUGUUGCCCCCCUGCUGGAGUAAAAUGGCCUGAUCUCAGCAGCUCACCACAACCUCAGCCUCCCAGGUUCAAAUGAUUCUCCUGCCUCAGCCUCCCAAAUAGCUGGGAUUACAGGCAGGCACCAACAUGCCCGGCUAAUUUUGUGUUUUUAGUAGAGAGGAGGUUUCUCCAUGUUGGUCAGGCUGGUCUCAAACUCCCUACCUCAGGUGAUCCACCCGCCUCGGCCUCCCAAAGUGCUGGGACUACAGGCGUGAGCCACCCUGCCCGGCCUGAAUGUCCUCGUUUCUAAAACAGCAAAUGGGAACCAGUAGCUUCCUUCCUUGCCAGCACUCCCCUGGCUCCCCAGGCUUUGGUCAGGGUGAGACUAGCCAGGGCACUUGCUGCCCAAAUUUCCUGCUUCAGAGAAGUUCUACCAAGCAGCUACAGCAGCCAGCCCUUGCCUCUGCCUGGCCUUGCUGCACGUUCACUGCUACUGAGACCUACACUGGGGAAGGGGAGUACAGAAUCCCCAGCUUCUGCUCUGCAGGGUUGGGGAGGGAGAAUCCAGACCCUUCACAUACAUACUUUUUACAGGAGCGGAAACUGAGGUCCAGGAGAUCAUGUUACUUGUCAGGCUUUUGAGGGGCGCUAAGCUGGGUUGGACCUACGUGUCCGGGUUCCUAGCCCAGAACCCCUCUGUUUAUCCAAAUAGCUGUUUCUCUAACCGAGCUCCUCUCUGUAUAGAGGGAUUUCUAGUAGCCUCUCCUCCCUUCCAAGGUUCUGGGCCAGUUUGUUUUCAACAGUGUCAGGAGUAAGUGCACUGGGGACUGGGAGAAGGGCCACCGCGGGAUUCGGAAUUUAUUUCGUUUUCUUUGCUUCUUCUGUGACCCUUACUUCUUUCGCCUACCGGCUCAGCCUGUUCGGCGUCUUGCAGCAGUGCCUGCGAUCCCGCGUGAGUCCGUCGCUCCCUCCGCGAAAACCUGGACUCUUUCCCAGAAGCCUUGGGCUCCAGCACCAUGCCUGCUGCAGCCGCCAAAGAGCGGGAAGCCACAGGCUCUGCGGGUCUUGGUUACAGCGUCUCUGGUCGUGCCGGGCCUCCUUCUGCAUCUGUUCCACGGCCCGGCCAUCUCCCUCGUGCAGCCCAGAACAAUUGGGAGGAAGCGUUGGCGGGCGGAGGGGGAUGCCUGUUGGGCUUUUCCACUAGUUACUGAGUGUUUUUUGCGAAGAGUACGUUGCUAUCAGUGGCGUCCGGGUCGUCUCUCCCUCUCUUCCUUUUGGUCCCCAUAAAUGAGCUGUUCUCGGCUCUGGGAAAGAAAAGCCCUCCAGCGAUUAUGCGGAUCUAAUUAAGUCAAUCAGGAAACUGCCGGAGAGCGGCACUGGCUUGAAGCGGAGUUUGUCCUGAGGCACAGCGGAACGAUUGCACGCGGCCCUUUUCAGCGGUUCGAGCUCGGCCAGCGCCGGGCUGCAAACGGAAGCCUGAGCUGGGCUUGGGGAACUACGCCCGCAGAUUUCUCUAAUUUUAUUCACAAAACUGGACACCCUCAGGGAAAGCGGCAAAGCCGGCGCGAGCCUCCUUCCCACUCUGGACCUAGCUGCAGCUCCAAAGCGAGAUAGCUGUCUAGCCUCAGCCGGUACAGCUCCCGGCCCCUUUCUCCACCCGGAUCUUCGGCUGCUCAGAAGCGAUCAGCUCCCUUAGCCCAGGUGGGAGGCGGGAGACUCCAGAUCCUGUGACCCGCGGAGGCAGACCUCAGACAUGUUCCCCAUGCACAGAAAUGACUGGGGCUCCAGUGUGUGCACCUUCAACUCUGAAGCCCACCUGCCCACUUCAGGCGCUGGCGCGGAGAUAACCACCACGCGUCUGCCGGGCAAAGUUCGAGAGUGAAUUUACAUCUUCUCUUUCCGCUACUCCUGGCCACUGUCCCCUCCCAGCCCCAUCUCCCCCGCCCCCAACCCUGGACUAUGUGGUAGGGGACUCGCUUAAGCACCCAAGUACUGCGCGGUUGUUGAGACCAAGGCGAGCUGCGGAGCCUGUGGGCUGUUGUUCGUGGGAAGAGGGUUGCGACCUCAGGAGAGACCGAAAACAGCGCCACUUGAAACCCGCCGGUCCUGAAGAUCACAGAGUUCCCGGAGUGGUAGGGAAGGCUCCACGCUCUUGAGAGCAGAGGCGGCCAGGGGCAGUGGGGGACGCUUCCAGGUAUGUGGGAAGGAGAACUUCAUGUCUAAGUGCGCUCUUGUGGGUUUCUCGGCCAGCUGGGCCGAGCCUCUCUUUCUCUGUCCUCAUGUGUCUGUCCUCUGGACAACAGUGGCUCUGUAUGGCGGAUUGCGACCCUGAGUGACGGGCGCCUGUCUUGCAUCCUGUGUCCUGUGUCCUCCCCUCCAGACCUCAUGCUUGGUGUCCACAGAGUGGACCCAGGACUGCCUGGAAGGCUUAUCAUCCAGGCCCGCGACUUCCCCCCAGAGUCUGAAGCCUUGCGACCUGGUCGGGGACGACAAACCUGCUCGGGGUCAACAGCGAGACCCUAGUGGGGAAUGAGGAUGGGUGAGGGUGCGCCUGGGUUGAGGGUCUGUGACUGUAGCAUGGAAAAGGAGUUCAUGCAGGGAUCGCACUGAGGGACAGCCAAGAAUACUCCAGCGGCAGCCUCCCUCCUACCAAUUACACGCCGCCUGCUGGCACAGUGGCACCUCGGGAACAGGACGCCCUUCCGGGCCCUGAAUUGGGGCAGCGCAGGAGGGAGGGUGCAGAGCCAUAGCGACCUGUGUGUACCAUAGACAUGCACAUGCGCUCACCUUCACGUGUAACCCUUCUGAGUCCCAGACAGGGUAACUGGCGAGGCCGUAAGUACCCUCGUGGGGGCGGAAAUAUUGCCGCGUCCCUGAGUCCUCUGGGCAGAUGCAGAGCCGCGUAAGCCUCAUAGAAGCAAAGCCAGGGGAACAGUGGGAGCUCUGGCCUCGCGGUGCGGACGCUAGUAAUGGAUUCCUGGGGAACAGCGACCUCUGGAGGAGCCUCUCAUCCACACAGAGUCAGGAACUAAAGGACUGGUUCUGAGACAAAGCACCCUUUCCUCACCCUACUCCCAUUCCACCCGCUUGGAAAAGUUAUCCAGAGACUUUUAACCUCCGGACUCCACUCUUCGCUUAUGUUUGCUUUUUUUUCCAACCUGUACCCACGCUUCAAAAUCCCUGCUCCAGUCCUGCCUCUUCCAGAAAGAAGCCUUCUGGCCAGCCCAGUUCCUCUUCCCCUCUUCCUGUUCUGAGCUCAUUCUCAGGCCACACUGCACAGCCAACCUGCUUCCUGCCUGCUCUUCUCCAAAAAGACUGUGAAUCCACUCCACCCACGCCUUGUGUUGCAUGCUGGGCAUGCCGUUCCCUGCCCCAACCCACCCCACCCCCCAGUGAAUAAAGACUGAAGUUAUUCAUUCCAAAAUUGGACUGUUGAUUUUUCAAAGUUAAUUUCACCGAUGGGGAAAUUGAGACCCAGAGAGAGGGAUGACUUGCCCAAAAUCACACAGCAAACUGGUAGCAGAGGUGGAACUAGAACCCUACACCAUUUCCCAGGCCAGGGUGCUCUUCAUCUCACCUGGAUGGGGAGCAGGUAAUUUGGGGAGAACUCACUUUGAUGGGUGAGACCUGAAUUGAGGUUUCACACUGGAGCGGGGAAUGCAGGAGGAAACUGAGAGAGUGGUCAUUGCUCCAGGAUGAGGCAGGGAGGGCAAUGCUGUGCUGGGAGGCCAGACCCUUCUUUCUCCCAUCCUCAGCCCAGAUCAAGCUACUUGGAAGGACUUCACAUUUCAGGGGUUGGCUGCAUUUCUUACAUCAGCAAGUGGGCAGGGCUAAGGUCUGGGAACAGACUCAACUCUGGAAAAUACCACCCUCCCCCAUCCACCACCACCACCCAAGGGAAGGAGGAGCUGAGAAACCUCUCCUGCUCAUACACUCAGAGGGCACUGCAGAGACCCCAGAUCAACAGGAGGCCUUCUGGUGCUUGCAAUUCAGUUAGUGAAAAGGUGGAAGUGUGAUUUGCAUGAGGCUCUAGUGAUACCUGCUCAGUAGCCUGAGGCCUUCUCAGAGCUGCAUCACUUUCUGUGUAUAGAGUCCUUGUCUGCACAGGAUACCUGGCAGCCUGGCCCCUACCUGCUUGCCCAGCCCCUACCUCCAACUCCUGUUCUCUACUCACACCUGAUUUCCUCUUUCUUCCCUCUUCACCUUUGCAGGUGGCUCACUCUUGCCUGGCUCACUUCUAAUCCUUCCUAGUUAAUUUCACACAUCAAGUUUGUGAGAUGCUUUCCCUGACAACACUCCUGCGCUCACCUGACUCCCACCUCUGUGUUCCUGAAGCUCUUAGCUCCAUCUGUUUUUGUUACUUGUUUUUCAGUCUGUAGAUUUUAUUAUAGACCAGGAGUCCUCAACCUUUUUGGCACCAGGGUCUGGUUUCAUGGAAGACAGUUUUUUCCACAGACCAAGGUGGUGGUGGGCAAAUGGUUUUGGGAUGAAACUGUUCUACCUCAUAUCAUCAGGCAUUAGUUACAUUAUCAUAAGGACCACGCAACAGGCGGGGCAUGGUGGCUCACACCUUGUAAUCCCAGCACUCUGGGAGGCUGAGGUGGGUGAAUCAUUUGAGGUCAGGAGUUUGAGACCAACCUGGCCAACAUGGUGAAAUCCCGCCUCUAGUAAAAAUACAAAAAUUAGCUGGGCGUUGUAGUGGGUGCCUUUAGUCCCAGCUACCUGGGAGGCUGAGGCAGGAGAAUUCCUUGAACCCAGGAGGCAGAGGUUGCAGUGAGCCGAGAUUGCACCACUGCACUCCAGCCUGGGCAACAGAGUGAGACUCCAGUCUCAAAAAUAAAUAAAUAAAUAAAAAAUAAGGAGCACGCAACCUAGAUCCCUCACAUGCGCAGUUCACAAUAGGGUUUGUGCUCCUAUGAGAAUCUAAUGUCGCCACUGAUCUGACAGGAGGCGGAGCUCGGGUGGUAAUACUUGCUCACCCGCAGCUGACCUCCUGCUGUGUGGCCAGGUUCUUAACAGGUCACCGGUUAGGAACCAGUUAGUGGCCAGGGGGUUAGGGAUCCCUGCUUUAGACUGUGAGCUCCUUGAGAACAGGGCUCAUUUUGUGUUCAUCUUUAUCUUUCCUCUUCUGCAAAAUGGGGAUAAUAAUUGUACCUACCUCAUUGGAUUGCUGUAAGGAUUAAAAGAGAUGAUGCACAUAUAAAGCACUUAGCCUACUACCUGAAACUUUGAAAGAUCUCAAUAAAGGCCGGGCGUGGUGGCUCACGCCUGUAAUCCCAGCACUUUGGGAAGCUGAGGCAGGCAGAUCACCUGAGAUCAGGAGUUGGAAACCAGCCUGGCUAACAUGAUGAAACCCCAUCUCUAUUAAAAAUACUAAAAUUAGGCCGGGCACGGUGACUCAUGCCUGUUAUCCCAGUACUUUGGGAGGCUGAGGCGGGCAGAUCACGAGUUCAGCAGAUCGAGACUAUCCUGGCCAACAUGGUGAAACCCAGUCUCUACUAAAAAUACAAAAAUUAGCUGGGCGUGGUGGUGCAUGCCUGUAAUCCCAGCUACUCGGGUGGCUGAGGCAGGAGAAUAGCUUGAACCAGGGAGUCGGAGGUUGGAGUGAUCCAAGAUCGUGCCACCGCACUCCAGUCUGGCAACAGAGUGAGACUCCGUCUCAAAAACAAAACAAAAUACAAAAAUUAGCCAGGUGCAGUGGUGGGCACCUGUAAUCCCAGCUACUUGGGAGGCUGAGGCAGGAGAAUUGCUUGAACCCGGGAGGUGGAGGUUAAAGUGAGCCGAGAUCAUGCUACUGCACUCCAGCCUGGGCAACAGAGUGAGACUCUGUCUCAAAAAAACAAAACAAAAACAAACCAAAAAAAAACCUCAAUAAAUGUUUUGCAUCAUCAUUAUUAAUCACUCUACCUCCUGCCAGGCACAAAGCCUGACACACAGUAGGUGCUCAAUUAAUGUUAGAUAUGUGGAUAUAUUAAUGAAAGAAAAGAGGAAGGAAGAAAGGAAGGUAUGGCAUAUCUCUCUCUCUGGGACUCCCUAUAGAACUCUAGGGAGUUCAUCAGUAAAUCAUCAAUGGAAUUCUGUAUUCACUGGGAACAGAGGUUGUAGCUCAGAUCAUCAAUAGAACUACGUGUUCACUAAGAACAGAGGUUGCUUCUCUCCCAUCAGUCCCCAUCUUUGAGGGGAGGAGAACAUGUCUCCCUCUCAGACAGAGUUUAUCCGUGGUUUCUGGCUGUAGCAGUCAUUGGAUUUGUCUGUUGUUCUCUCUGCCUCAGUUUCCUCCUUUUAAAAUGGUUGUGACAAAUCAAACCAGCUUCCAGACUGAGCCCUGCCAAAGUCUUCCAGGGGCUCCACAUUGCUUGUAAGACAAAAUGCAGUUUCCCUGGCAUGAUGAGCUGAACAUGCUUACAGUUUUUGCAUGUCUCGGCCCUCUGUUGAAGGAAACCUUCCCUCCUGUGUUCCAUGUGGUCCUGACGGGGCUAUCCAAUUUGUUCCCCUCACAAUUACUCCCCAGGAGCAGACAGGCAACCAACUGGGUCAUACAUACCAUUGCAAGUUCAAGGCCCAGUGAUUGGUCCAGGCAGUGGUAAGUGACCUAAGUAGCCAGUCACCCCUUCUACAUGAUUUGACAUAUGGACUCUGAGAUUUGGGACUAUGUAGACCAUGGGACUGGCACUCUGGGACUCUGGGAGGAGCACCUCUCCUUUUGGAUCAGAAGACAAGCACACAGGCUUAGCUGUCAGAAGCCAUCUCCCUGCCACAUGGAGAGUGCUGUUUGACAUCAAAGCCCACACACAGAGGAAAACAGCCUAAAGAGAGAAAGAGACUUAAAAAUAGUGUUUGAGUCCCUGGAUCCAGCUCUGCCUGAAACUGGAACCCCUAGACUUUCCAGACAUUCAAAAAGAAAGAAAUCUCCCCUUUUGCUAAGCUAGGUUGAGGUGGAUUUCUGCUAGUUGAGUUGAAUUUCACAAAUAGCCUAGCCACAAAAGAGAAGAAUCCUGGGUCUCUGAGACCACUGAACUGCCAUACCACCCUGAACUGCCUGCACUGACUGUUAUGUAAAAGAGAAAUAAACUUUGGUCUUGUUUAGACCACUGAUGUGGGAUUGGGGGGGCCAGUCUGUCAUUCACAACUGAACCUAACCCUGCUUAAUGCACGAAAGUUUGAGAAAAUGUCCUAUAAACACGAAAGAAAGGUCUGAGGUAAUUAGCCUGGAGAAUAAAGGCUUAACACAGCCAGCAUCUCCCAAUCUCCACAGGGCUCAUCUGGGGCAGAGACACCAAGGCAAAAGAGAGCCAGAAAGGGGUAAAAAGCCUCACUUUCUGUGUCUCCAUGCAAGGAGAACAUUCUAACAGGGCUGUCUCUGAGAUGUAGUAGAUUACCUCGGUGGCUCUGAGUUCCUUGUCACUGGAAGUGCUAGAGUGGAGGCUGGGUAAUCACUGAGUAUGAAUCAUAGAGGCACCCAGGUGUAGCAAGAAGAGUUCAGGUCUUAGAGCUGGGUUCAAAUUACGCUCUUACCACUUAUUAGUCUCAGACAAAUAAUCUCUGUAAGCCUGCAUUUCCUCAUUUGUAAAGCAUCCAGAUAGCUGGGUUGGAAACGGACUAGGGAAAUUUCUUAUCCUGCUACCUCAUGGGGACUCCUGAGACCUAGUGCUCUAGCUGGAGCCCGUCAUGGAUCAGGAUGUCUCAGUGAGGUGCCUUGCCCUCCUCUCCAACCUUGACAUGUUCAGGGACACCUCCAUCCUGCCAUGAAAAUGCAUUACCCACUGGUUUGUUCCUGCAACUGCAGAGGAACAGUGGGGCCUGAGCCAAGAGGCCUGGGCCCUACUCUCUGUCUUCUCCCUGACUUCCUAUGUGACCUCAAGCAUGCCCCCGCCUCUUCCAAGGCCUCAGUUUCCUCAUCCAACAUAUGAGAAGUGUAUCUCCAUCACAGACAAUCUGGGUCUAGAAUCAGGGCUCUUAACUACUGUGCCAUACCUAUCACAACAAUAAUCAUCAUGUUACUGCCUGGCCUUGCCCUGCCCAGCCCCCUCAAGGUCUGCUGGAACAGGCUACUCCUCAUCCUCUGCCUAGGUCAGCCCAAAAUGGUGACAACUGCUACAUGAGCUGACAUCACAGGCCUGGGCAACCCAGAGGUUCCCAGUCUGCCAAGGGCCUCAUUUCCAGCCUUGAAAUUUGACUCCCCAUUAGUUACAUGAACACCUCUCACAGGGGCUCUGUGUGAUCUUUCCUCAUCCACACCUUCCUUCAAAGUUGGGGCCACUCAUAUCUGGGGGACUAGAGGCAAUGAAAUGGGAAAUCUGAAACAGUAGUGGAGCAGAUCUUACAGCAUUAUCCUAUGGUCAGAAGAAAGGAGUCACAACUGGGGACCCAGAUGGGGAGACAGCACCAUUUGGCAGGAAGCCUGGAGGCCUGAAUGGUGGAGGUCCAAAAAGCUGGUUCCCUAUACCUGCCAUGGAUGCCCAGGAUUUGGGGGCUAAAAAGGAAAAGGAGCCACCACCCUGAAUGGAUUGACAGCCACGGCACAGCACACCCCAGGGUGGGCAUGGCAAGUACCCAUGCUUCCCAAAUCCAGAGGCCAGGAUACCUUGUGAAGGGACUGGUGGCAGACUGAUGGAAAGGCCCUGGAGAAGAAGGCAGUCGGGUUUGAGAAGGUGAAAAUCUGACUGUGGUCAUCAAGGGUCCCUUUGAGAAAUAAAAGAGGACUGCUGUUGAAAGGAGCCAGUGUGACCACACAGGGGACGUAGUGCCUUGACAAAGGCUGCAUGGAAAUCCACUUCCAGGGAUUUCUCCUGCUGGUAUACCUGCACACAUAUGGUAUGACAUAUGUACAAAGUCACAUUGUGGUGCUGUUCGGAAUGUCAAAAGGUUGGAAACAACAUAAAUGUCUAUCAAGGACAGGUUAAGCAAAUAAUGAAACAUCUGAAAAAGGGACCAGUAUACUGUAAAAGUAGAAUAUAGAAGUUCUUUAUGUACUCAGCUGGAGAAAGCACCAAGAUACGUUGUUUGUUUGUUGUUUGUUUUUGUUUUUGAGACGGAGUCUCGCUCUGUCUCCCAGGAUGGAGUGCAGUGAUGUGAUCUUGGCUCACUACAACCUCCACCUCCCGGGUUCAAGCGAUUCUUCUGCCUCAGCCUCCCGAGUAAUGGGAUUACAGGCAAGUGCCACCACACCUGGCUAAUUUUGUAUUUUUUGCAGAGACAGGGUUUCACCAUGUUGGCCAGUCUGGUUUCGAACUCCUGACCUCAAGUGAUCCACCCACCUUGGCCUCCCAAAGUGCUGGGAUUGCAUGCAUGAGCCACUGCACCCAGCCAAGAUACAUUGUUGAGUGAAAAAAAAAUUUCAAGAUAUAUAGAACAGUGUAAACAUGCAUCCAAUUGUGUUUUUCAAGGAGAAAAUAAUGUAUACUUGUAUUGGUUUACGUAUGAAACAAAAAUAUCUAGAAGGAUGAAUAAAAAUCUAGUAACUGAUUAUACACUAGGGCAAAUUGGAAACAAAUGGGAGACUUCAUGGAUGACUUUUUUAUAUUUGUAAAGUGAAGUGAAUGUAUUACUUAUUCAACAAUUAAAAACUUUAAAAGAAACAGUUGGAUUAUUUCAAUAACUAAGACUGAGUGUGCAGAACAUAAGAAUAAAAACCAUUACUAUGAGCUGAACACUUUUUAUGGGCUCCAACUUGAAAAUAUGGUUGGUGGCUAUGAAUGUUGAAAGCAAGGGACGUGAAGCCAGACAUGUGAGGUGCCUGUGAGUAUCAUCUGCCUGCCCAUCAGACAGGGAAGCAGUUGAGUCUGCUAGCUAGGACCCCAGAUUUUCUGCCUUUCCUCCUUCCUGUUCUGUUCCCAUCCCUCUGUCUUUGGCUCCCUCCCUCUGUUCGUCCCAUCUAAAUUACUUUGAAAGUCUGCCAGCUGGACAGGGGUUAGGAUGGAUAGAGGAAGAAGGGAUUUCACAGGAACAGGAGCAGCAGGCCCUCCCCUCCCUCCUUUCAGAACUCCAACCCACCACCUUCAGGAAGCAUUCCUUUGUGAAGCUCACAAAACCCCAGCCCCUUCAUAACUCAAGGGAGACAGACUGAUGCCCAGGGUGGGACCUGUGUCUCCCUCAAGCAGGGUCCAGGCCUCUUGUCUCUAAGUCUCAUCAACUCCCUAAACCCCAAGUCCAGCCUCCAGAUAAGGGCAGUUCAAACCAAAGCUGCAGUAUGCCCAGCUCUGGCCAGGCUGCCCAGUGAGGGACAUAGUGGAACAGAGAAGACACAGGCGCUGUCUGGGAAGCCCCAGUCAGGCAGGGUAGAAAAUCCUCACCCAUCAUCACAAUGCUUUAGCAGUCACAAAGGCCAUCCCUACCCAGACAGAGAGGAUCGGGCACAUUCUCUAUUUCGAGGUAGACUGAGGCUGAGUCAGGAUAGAGGCUGGAAUUGGUGAGUGACCAAGGAGACCUAGCAACCCCUCAUCUCAUAAAGCAUUCUACAUACUAUAUUGUCAUCUGCCAAUAUUUGAGCUCUCUGAGCGGGGACAGUGUCUGAUACAUCUCUGAGUCCUCAGCUGGGAAAGAGCACAGGACCUGGCACAAUCAAGGGACUUGGGGAGAGGCAGUAAUUGCUAUGAAGUGCAGAGAAAGUAAAGGACUUGCCUAAGUGUUUGACCUGAGACUAGACCCCAGGUUUUCUGCCUCCAGCCCAGCCCCCUUUCCUCUGUCUCCCUCUUACAGAGUAGAUAAAUUGUCUGCACCUAGGGCCACCAACCUCACACCCAUUCCAAUUCCAUUUGCAGUGGAGCAACUACCAAAGCCUGUCAAGAGGAAGUGGGGAGGGUGAAAGAUCUGGGAGGGUUUUCUAGAGGAGGUGGGAACUGCAGCUAGUUUUCCUCUUCUGCACCAAACAAUUGGUUUCCCUGCUGGAGCAAGUGCCUUUCAGCCACCAGGGGCUCCUGCCAGCCCAAAAUAGCAUCCAAAUGGAUCCUGACUUCAUUCCAGUGAUUUCCUGCUCAAAUCAGGUGCACACGAGGUGGCCAAUAGGUGGC